This 1108-nucleotide ribosomal RNA is filed under the name uncultured bacterium. RNAcentral describes it as "bacterial SSU rRNA". It matches the Rfam family "Bacterial small subunit ribosomal RNA", at positions 56 to 1199 of the family's 1533-position model. The record is from RNAcentral.
UGCAGUCGAACGAACCUGAUCUUCGGAAAAGGUUAGUGGCGUACGGUGAGUAACACGUAGGUGACCUGCCCUGGAGUGGGGGAUAACUUCUCGAAAGAGAAGCUAAUACCGCAUAUGCUCGGCCAUUCAGUUGGUCGAGUAAAGCUCCGGCGCUCCAGGAGGGGCCUGCGUCCGAUUAGCUAGUUGGUGAGGUAAUGGCUCACCAAGGCUAUGAUCGGUAGCUGGUCUGAGAGGACGAUCAGCCACACUGGCACUGACACACGGGCCAGACUCCUACGGGAGGCAGCAGUGAGGAAUAUUGGUCAAUGGGCGAAAGCCUGAACCAGCAACGCCGCGUGAGGGAUGAAGGCCUUCGGGUCGUAAACCUCUUUUCUGGGAGAAGAGACAAGGACGGUAUCCCAGGAAUAAGUCUCGGCUAACUACGUGCCAGCAGCCGCGGUAAAACGUAGGAGGCAAGCGUUAUCCGGAUUUACUGGGCGUAAAGCGCACGCAGGCGGCUGCGUAAGUCGGACGUGAAAGCUCCCGGCUCAACUGGGAGAGGUCGUUCGAAACUGCGCGGCUUGAGGUUGGAAGAGGAGAGCGGAAUUCCCGGUGUAGUGGUGGAAUGCGUAGAUAUCGGGAGGAACACCAGUGGCGAAAGCGGCUCUCUGGUCCACACCUGACGCUCAGGUGCGAAAGCGUGGGUAGCGAACGGGAUUAGAUACCCCGGUAGUCCACGCUGUAAACGAUGCGAACUAGGUGUUGGUAGUAUUAAACCUAUCAGUGCCGAAGCUAACGCGAUAAGUUCGCCGCCUGGGGACUACGGCCGCAAGGCUAAAGCUCAAAGGAAUUGACGGGGGCCCGCACAAGCAGCGGAGCGUGUGGUUUAAUUCGAUGCAACACGAAGAACCUUACCUGGGCUUGACAUGGUCGUAGUAGUGAACCGAAAGGGGAACGAGCCUUCGGGCAGCGAUCACAGGUGCUGCAUGGCUGUCGUCAGCUCGUGUCGUGAGAUGUUGGGGUUAAGUCCCGCAACGAGCGCAACCCUCGCUACUAGUUACAAGUGUCUAAGUGGGACUGCCGGAAUCAAACCGGAAGAAAGUGGGGGAUGACGUCAAGUCAGCAUGGG